RNAcentral lists this ribosomal RNA (524 nucleotides) under uncultured bacterium. RNAcentral describes it as "bacterial SSU rRNA". It matches the Rfam family "Bacterial small subunit ribosomal RNA", at positions 775 to 1296 of the family's 1533-position model. The record is from RNAcentral.
AGUAAAUAGAUACCCGGGUAGUCCACGCCGUAAACGAUGUCGACAUGGAGGUUGUGCCCUUGAGGCGUGGCUUCCGGAGCUAAACGCGUUAAGUCGACCGCCUGGGGAGUACGGCCGCAAGGUUAAAACUCAAAUGAAUUGACGGGGGCCCGCACAAGCGGUGGAGCAUGUGGUUUAAUUCGAUGCAACGCGAAGAACCUUACCUACUCUUGACAUCCAGAGAACUUAGCAGAGAUGCUUUGGUGCCUUCGGGAACUCUGAGGCAGGUGCUGCAUGGCUGUCGUCAGCUCGUGUUGUGAAAUGUUGGGUUAAGUCCCGCAACGAGCGCAACCCUUAUCCUUUGUUGCCAGCGGUUAGGCCGGGAACUCAAAGGAGACUGCCAGUGAUAAACUGGAGGAAGGUGGGGAUGACGUCAAGUCAUCAUGGCCCUUACGAGUAGGGCUACACACGUGCUACAAUGGCGCAUACAAAGAGAAGCGACCUCGCGAGAGCAAGCGGACCUCAUAAAGUGCGUCGUAGUCCGG